Molecule: ribosomal RNA, 450 nt
Filed under: uncultured bacterium
Lineage: Bacteria
Description: partial 16S ribosomal RNA
Rfam family: Bacterial small subunit ribosomal RNA
Source: RNAcentral
GCUAAGAAUAUUCCGCAAUGGGCGAAAGUCUGACGGAGCGACGCCGCGUGGAUGAAGAAGGCCGAAAGGUUGUAAAGUUCUUUUGUUGGGGAAGAAUAACCAUGGGAGGGAAUGCCCGUGGGAUGACAUGAACCGACGAAUAAGCCCCGGCUAACUACGUGCCAGCAGCCGCGGUAACACGUAGGGGGCGAGCGUUGUUCGGAAUUACUGGGCGUAAAGGGCAUGUAGGCGGUCUUGUAAGCUUGGCGUGAAAGACCACGGCUCAACCGUGGGAUUGCGUUGAGAACUGCGAGGCUUGAGUGACGGAGAGGGAGCUAGAAUUCCUGGUGUAGGGGUGGAAUCUGUAGAGAUCAGGAAGAAUACCAAUGGCGAAGGCAAGCUCCUGGCCGAUGACUGACGCUGAGGUGCGAAAGUGUGGGGAUCAAACAGGAUUAGAUACCCGAGUAGUCC